Molecule: long non-coding RNA, 224 nt
Filed under: Rattus norvegicus (Norway rat)
Lineage: Eukaryota; Metazoa; Chordata; Mammalia; Rodentia; Muridae
Description: long non-coding RNA NONRATT033327
Source: RNAcentral
CCCUGGCAUCUCACAGCCAAGGCGCUCCUUCCUCUCAAGGGUGAUCAGGGCAGCGCUACCAUUGCAACUGCUGCUGCUGCUGCUGCUGCUCCUGGCCUGCCUGCUGCCUGCCUCCGAAGAUGACUACAGCUGCACCCAGGCCAACAACUUUGCCCGCUCCUUCUACCCCAUGCUGCGGUAUACCAACGGGCCACCUCCCACCUAGAGGGUAGUUCUGCCAGCUG